RNAcentral lists this ribosomal RNA (108 nucleotides) under Carlito syrichta (Philippine tarsier). Lineage: Eukaryota; Metazoa; Chordata; Mammalia; Primates; Tarsiidae. The record is from RNAcentral.
GUCUAUGGCCAUACCACCCUGAAUGCACCUGAUCUUGUCUGAUCUCAGAAGCUAACCAGGGUUGGGCCUGAUUAGGAGACCACUUGGGAAUACAGUGUGCUUCAAAAA